This 496-nucleotide ribosomal RNA is filed under the name uncultured bacterium. RNAcentral describes it as "partial 16S ribosomal RNA". It matches the Rfam family "Bacterial small subunit ribosomal RNA", at positions 28 to 507 of the family's 1533-position model. The record is from RNAcentral.
GAUGAACGCUGGCGGCGUGCCUAAUACAUGCAAGUCGAGCGAACGGACGAGAAGCUUGCUUCUCUGAUGUUAGCGGCGGACGGGUGAGUAACACGUGGAUAACCUACCUAUAAGACUGGGAUACUUCGGGAAACCGGAGCUAAUACCGGAUAAUAUUUUGAACCGCAUGGUUCAAAAGUGAAAGACGGUCUUGCUGUCCCCUAUAGAUGGAUCCGCGCUGCAUUAGCUAGUUGGUAAGGUAACGGCUUAACAAGGCAACGAUGCAUAGCCGACCUGAGAGGGUGAUCGGCCACACUGGAACUGAGACACGGUCCGGACUCCUACGGGAGGCAGCAGUAGGGAAUCUUCCGCAAUGGGCGAAAGCCUGACGGAGCAACGCCGCGUGAGUGAUGAAGGUCUUCGGAUCGUAAAACUCUGUUAUUAGGGAAGAACAUAUGUGUAAGUAACUGUGCACAUCUUGACGGUACCUAAUCAGAAAGCCACGGCUAACUACGUG